RNAcentral lists this ribosomal RNA (253 nucleotides) under uncultured bacterium. RNAcentral describes it as "partial 16S ribosomal RNA". It matches the Rfam family "Bacterial small subunit ribosomal RNA", at positions 524 to 776 of the family's 1533-position model. The record is from RNAcentral.
UACAGAGGGGGCAAGCGUUGUUCGGAAUUACUGGGCGUAAAGGGCGCGUAGGCGGCCUGCUAAGUCGAACGUGAAAUCCCCAGGCUCAACCUGGGAACUGCAUCCGAUACUGGAUGGCUUGAAUUCGGGAGAGGGAUGCAGAAUUCCAGGUGUAGCGGUGAAAUGCGUAGAUAUCUGGAGGAAUACCGGUGGCGAAGGCGGCAUCCUGGACCGACAUUGACGCUGAUGAGCGAAAGCUAGGGGAGCAAACGGG